RNAcentral lists this ribosomal RNA (231 nucleotides) under uncultured bacterium. RNAcentral describes it as "partial 16S ribosomal RNA". It matches the Rfam family "Bacterial small subunit ribosomal RNA", at positions 524 to 753 of the family's 1533-position model. The record is from RNAcentral.
UACGUAGGGUGCAAGCGUUAAUCGGAAUUACUGGCGUAAAGCGUGCGCAGGCGGCUUUGCAAGACAGAUGUGAAAUCCCCGGGCUCAACCUGGGAACUGCAUUUGUGACUGCAUGGCUAGAGUACGGUAGAGGGGGAUGGAAUUCCGCGUGUAAGCAGUGAAAUGCGUAGAGUAUGCGGAGGAACACCGAUGGCGAAGGCAAUCCCCUGGACCUGUACUGACGCUCAUGCA